Molecule: ribosomal RNA, 443 nt
Filed under: uncultured bacterium
Lineage: Bacteria
Description: partial 16S ribosomal RNA
Rfam family: Bacterial small subunit ribosomal RNA
Source: RNAcentral
CCUACGGGUGGCUGCAGUGGGGAAUUUUGCGCAAUGCUCGUAAGAGUGACGCAGCGACGCCGCGUGAAUGACGAAGGCCUUCGGGUCGUAAAGUUCUUUAAUCAGGGACGAAGGAAAUGACGGUACCUGAGGAAUAAGCCACGGCAAACUAUGUGCCAGCAGCCGCGGUAAUACAUAGGUGGCAAGCGUUGUCCGGAAUGACUGGGCGUAAAGGGAGCGUAGGCGGUCUGUUAAGUUGGAAGUGAAAUCCCGGGGCUCAACCCCGGAACUGCUUUCAAGACUGACGGACUUGAGUGUAAGAGGGGUAAGCGGAAUUCCUAGUGUAGCGGUGGAAUGCGUAGAUAUUAGGAGGAACACCAGUGGCGAAGGCGGCUUACUGGAUUAUAACUGACGCUGAGGCUCGAAAGCGUGGGUAGCAAACAGGAUUAGAUACCCCUGUAGUC